Molecule: ribosomal RNA, 421 nt
Filed under: uncultured bacterium
Lineage: Bacteria
Description: bacterial SSU rRNA
Rfam family: Bacterial small subunit ribosomal RNA
Source: RNAcentral
AACGAACGCUGGCGGCAGGCUUAACACAUGCAAGUCGAACGCACCGCAAGGUGAGUGGCAGACGGGUGAGUAACACGUGGGAACGUACCCCUUUGUUCGGAAUAACCCUGGGAAACUAGGGCUAAUACCGGAUACGGCCGAGAGGCGAAAGGUUUACCGCAGAGGGAUCGGCCCGCGUCCGAUUAGCUUGUUGGUGAGGUAAUGGCUCACCAAGGCAUCGAUCGGUAGCUGGUCUGAGAGGANGGCCAGCCACAUUGGGACUGAGACACGGCCCAAACUCCUACGGGAGGCAGCAGUGGGGAAUAUUGGACAAUGGGCGCAAGCCUGAUCCAGCCAUGCCGCGUGAGUGAUGACGGCCUUAGGGUUGUAAACCGCUUUUAGUCGGGAAGAAAAGGCGCACUCUAAUACGGUGCGUUCUUGA